GCUCCCCACACACCGCCGGCGUCCGCUGGUCUCCCCGCCGGAGCCCGACAGCGCCUUCCACCCGGGUCCCCGCUUUUCCCGACCGGAGAAUUACUUCAUGCCCAGCAACUUCAGAGGAAGAGAAAUAACAAGCCAGAAUGUCCAUUUAUUCAUCUACAACAAAAAAUGGGCCCAAUUUGACAGCCGAGGCCAUCUACCCAGGACAUUCCCUCCUGCCGGGGAAGCCAAACUACCAGUUAUUGUGAAAGCAUUUAUUGAGAAGGAUGCGCCACAACAUUGAACCCCCCUGCAUCGCUAAUCCAACAAGAGGAGGACCGUGGUUCUAGAGGAUCUCUGAGAGCCACAGUAACAGACUUUGCCUGAGUGAAAAUAA
Lontra canadensis (Northern American river otter) is the source of this 373-nucleotide long non-coding RNA. RefSeq lists it as uncharacterized. The record is from RefSeq and is a predicted model, not a curated record. The transcript has 3 exons. NCBI's taxonomy places the organism in Eukaryota, Metazoa, Chordata, Mammalia, Carnivora, Mustelidae.